UACGAAGGGGGCUAGCGUUGCUCGGAAUCACUGGGCGUAAAGGGGUGCGUAGGCGGGUCUUUUAAGUUCAGGGGUGAAAUCCUGGAGCUCACUCCAGAACUGCCUUUGAUACUGAGGAUCUUGAGUUCGGGAGAGGUGAGUGGAACUGCGAGUGUAGAGGUGAAAUUCGUAGAUAUUCGCAAGAACACCAGUGGCGAAGGCGGCUCACUGGCCCGAUACUGACGGCUGAGGCACGAAAGCGUGGGGAUCAA
This 251-nucleotide ribosomal RNA is filed under the name uncultured bacterium. RNAcentral describes it as "partial 16S ribosomal RNA". It matches the Rfam family "Bacterial small subunit ribosomal RNA", at positions 524 to 771 of the family's 1533-position model. The record is from RNAcentral.